GCGGCUUGGUCAUCUCCACCGUUCUGGAGCAGCUAAUGGUCCAUGAGGUGCGCGCAAAGGUCUCCAGGAGUAAAUUAAACAAGCAGAUGCAAGUUCCAUUCUGGACCCUCAGGUGCGCGGCUUGAUUCUGCCAGGAAGGAACCCAGAGUAGGAGCAAACAGCCGCUUUCGCAGAGAAGCUCUGAAGUAGCCUGAGUGGAGCCUCGGUAUUCCAGCAGCCUCGUCUGCUAGCCGGGGACUGGUAGAGCUUGGUUUCGCUGUUCCCGUUUCUCCUAGCUCAGGCCUUGCACUUUCGUUGUUUAAUGAACACUGGGCAGUGCGUUGCAUGGUUCGAAAUUAAAGUCAAACCCUUUUCUUUUAAAA
RNAcentral lists this long non-coding RNA (362 nucleotides) under Mus pahari (shrew mouse). RNAcentral describes it as "lncRNA (MGP_PahariEiJ_G0003372.1)". Lineage: Eukaryota; Metazoa; Chordata; Mammalia; Rodentia; Muridae. The record is from RNAcentral.